ACAGUCGAUGUUUGCGCGAACAAGUUCGCCGGCGAACAGUCCGCGACAUCCCUAUUUAUUACAUCAUCAGUAACACUUCUGCCCUUUUUCUUUCCCCCAGGAGUAAUAAAUUUAUUUUUAAAUGUCUUCAGAAGGAUCCAGCCAAAAGACCAUUUGCAAAGGAACUCCUAUUCCACCGAUUCAUCACAUAUAAUCGAGAUGAAGAGGAGGUGCAAUAUAGCAUAGCAGAGCAUACAGUAUAAAGAAAGAAGCAAAGAAAUAAGACCUUCAAGCAAAAUAUUCUCUUGCAACACCUCAUUAAGAAGACUUUGUCAAGACUUAGGAAGGAAAUGGAAGAACAAUAUAUAAAUCCAAAAAUGGAUUCUACCCUUGCAAUAUCUGAAAUGUGGCUCCUUCAUUAUGUUCCCAUAAGGGAAAGGAAGGAAAGGGUUGGGAACACAAUAUAGGAGCCACAGCCCAUCUACUUUGGAUACUUUACCAAAUGUUUAUUUUUAUAUAAUCUAUUUAAAUGUAUAUAUAUAUUUAUAUAUUAAUAAAAAUAAUAAGCUGA
This is a long non-coding RNA of Xenopus laevis (African clawed frog), 550 nucleotides long. RefSeq lists it as uncharacterized. The transcript is spliced from 2 exons. NCBI's taxonomy places the organism in Eukaryota, Metazoa, Chordata, Amphibia, Anura, Pipidae. The record is from RefSeq and is a predicted model, not a curated record.